RNAcentral lists this signal recognition particle RNA (81 nucleotides) under human gut metagenome. RNAcentral's name for it is "Bacterial small signal recognition particle RNA". It matches the Rfam family "Bacterial small signal recognition particle RNA", at positions 1 to 83 of the family's 97-position model. From Rfam's summary of the family: The signal recognition particle (SRP) is a universally conserved ribonucleoprotein involved in the co-translational targeting of proteins to membranes. Archaeal SRP consists of a 7S RNA and homologues of the eukaryotic SRP19 and SRP54 proteins. RNAcentral also lists the same sequence under 2 other names. The record is from RNAcentral.
GGACCCUGCGCAAGGGUGAGCCGUGAAUCUUGUCAGGUCCGAGAGGAAGCAGCAAUAAGCGGUCCUUACCCUGUGCCGCAG